This 459-nucleotide ribosomal RNA is filed under the name uncultured bacterium. Its description in RNAcentral is "bacterial SSU rRNA". It matches the Rfam family "Bacterial small subunit ribosomal RNA", at positions 28 to 507 of the family's 1533-position model. The record is from RNAcentral.
GACGAACGCUGGCGGCGUGCUUAACACAUGCAAGUCGAACGGGAGUAUUGAAGAAGCUUGCUUUAGAGAUACUUUAGUGGCGGACGGGUGAGUAACGCGUGAGGAGCUGUCCUAUGCAGGGGGACAACAGCUGGAAACGGCUGCUAAUACCCCAUAAGCCGAGAGGUAAAAGGAUCAAUCCGGCAGAGGAGGUACUCGCGUCCUAUCAGCUAGUAGGUGAGGUAACGGCUCACCUAGGCGAAGACGGGUAGCCGGCCUGAGAGGGCGAACGGCCACACUGGAACUGAGAUACGGUCCAGACUCCGUACGGGAGGCAGCAGUGGGGAAUAUUGGGCAAUGGGGGAAACCCUGACCCCAGCGACGCCGCGUGGGUGAAGAAAUCCUUCGGGAUGUAAAGCCCUGUUGUAUGGGAAGAGCGGAAGACGGUACCAUACGAGGAAGCCCCGGACAAACUACGUG